GGAGGGUGCAAACGUUAAUCGGAAUUACUGGGCGUAAAGCGCGCGUAGGCGGUUUGAUAAGUGGGAUGUGAAAGCCCAGGGCUUAACCUUGGAACUGCAUUCCGAACUGUCAGGCUAGAGUAUGGUAGAGGGAGGUAGAAUUUCCUGUGUAGCGGUGAAAUGCGUAGAUAUAGGAAGGAAUACCGAUGGCGAAGGCAGCCUCCUGGACCAAUACUGACGCUGAGGUGCGAAAGCGUGGGGAGCAAACAGGGAUUAGAUACCCUGGUAGUCCACGCCGUAAACGAUGAGAACUAGCCCGUUGGGACCCCUUGAGGUUUUGGUGGCGCAGCUAACGCGAUAAGUUCUCCGCCUGGGGGAGUACGGCCCGCAAGGUUA
RNAcentral lists this ribosomal RNA (375 nucleotides) under uncultured organism. RNAcentral describes it as "partial 16S ribosomal RNA". It matches the Rfam family "Bacterial small subunit ribosomal RNA", at positions 527 to 896 of the family's 1533-position model. The record is from RNAcentral.